This 499-nucleotide ribosomal RNA is filed under the name uncultured bacterium. RNAcentral describes it as "partial 16S ribosomal RNA". It matches the Rfam family "Bacterial small subunit ribosomal RNA", at positions 28 to 507 of the family's 1533-position model. The record is from RNAcentral.
GACGAGCGCUGGCGGCGUGCCUAAUACAUGCAAGUCGAGCGGACCAAACAGGAGCUUGCUCUUGUUUGGUUAGCGGCGGACGGGUGAGUAACACGUGGGUAACCUGCCCGUAAGACCGGGAUAACUCCGGGAAACCGGAGCUAAUACCGGAUAACACCGAAGACCGCAUGGUCUUUGGUUGAAAGGCGGCUUCGGCUGCCACUUACGGAUGGGCCCGCGGCGCAUUAGCUAGUUGGUGAGGUAACGGCUCACCAAGGCGACGAUGCGUAGCCGGCCUGAGAGGGUGACCGGCCACACUGGGACUGAGACACGGCCCAGACUCCUACGGGAGGCAGCAGUAGGGAAUCUUCCGCAAUGGACGAAAGUCUGACGGAGCGACGCCGCGUGAGCGAAGAAGGGCUUCGGAUCGGAAAGCUCUGUUGUUAGGGAAGAAGAAGCGCCGUUCGAACAGGGCGGCGCGGUGACGGUACCUAACGAGAAAGCCCCGGCUAACUACGUG